Molecule: long non-coding RNA, 2390 nt
Filed under: Homo sapiens (human)
Lineage: Eukaryota; Metazoa; Chordata; Mammalia; Primates; Hominidae
Description: uncharacterized LOC105374655, transcript variant 3 (LOC105374655)
Source: RNAcentral
AGCCCGCCAUGCCUGAGCUUCCCCCCGCCCCCGCCGUGGGCUCCUGUGCGGCCCGAGCCUCCCCGACGAGCGCCGCCCCCUGCUCCACGAUGCCCAGUCCCAUCGACCACCCAAGGGCUGAGGAGUGCGGGCUCACGGUUACAGGAUUCCCAUUUCAGAACUACGACCAUUUGAAAAAUAGAAGAUUUAAAGAUUGACGCAAAGUGCAUGUACCAUGAUACACCAGACGGAGUCUCACUCUCUCGCCCAAGCUGGAGUACAGUGGCGCAAUCUCGGCUCACUGCAAGCUCCGCCUCCCGGGUUCACACCAUUUUCCUGCCUCAGCCUCCCGAUUAGCUAGGACUACAAGCGCCCGCCACCACGCCCGGCUAAUUUUUUGUAUUUUUAGUAGAGACGGCGUUUCACCGUGGUCUCGAUGUCCUGACCUCGUGAUCCACCUGCCUUGGCCUCCCAAAGUGCUGGGAUUACAAGCGUGAGCCACCGUGCCCGGCUGUUAUUUUUUCUUAGGGAACAUAGAUACAGCAUAUCUACAGUGAUUGAGAGAUGGCUUUACUUAAUUCAGGAAGAGAAUUUGAUUUUCUAAUUCUAUUUCUAUGUCUGUCUUUUCAUUUUCCUGACAUUCAAAUUGUUACCAGUCAGAUAAAGUUAUGUAUGAGAAUUAAGAAUUACAAUAUAUUUUAAAAUAUUGGAAAACAUAUUAUUUUAUUGUAAUGCCGAGUGACAUUCAAAUUGUUACUAGUCAGAUAAAGUUAUGUGUGAGAAUUAAGAAUUAUAAUAUAUUUUAAAAUAUUGGAAAACAUAUUGUUUUAUUGUAAUGCAGAGUAAAAAUAAGUUGUAAAAUUAGUUAUCUGUAAGAGUGUGUGCAAAUAGGUAUCAGUUCUAAUUAGAUGAAUGUAGUACAUGUGAAGUAUUUGAGGUAAAAAAUUAAUGUUUUGAAGUCCAUUUUAAAAUUUUUUUUUGAGACAAAGUCUCACCCUGUCAUCCAGGCUGGAGUUCAGUGGCUUGAUGUUAGCUCACUGCAACCUCCACUUCCCAGGCUCAAGCCAUCCUCCCACCUCAGCCUCCUGAGUAACUGGGACUACAGGCAUGCAACACCAUGCCUAGCUAAUUUUUGUAUUUUUUGUAGAGACAGAGUUUUGCCAUGUUGCCCAGCCUGAUCUCGAAUUUUGGGCUCAAGAGAUCCUCCUCCCUCAACCUCCCAAAGUGCUAGGAUUACAGAUGUGAGCCGCCACUCCAGCCCUGAAAUCAAUCUUAAUGUAGUUGUAGAAGCCUUCUUAGUGAAGAUUCCUCAUGUCAUCAGAAUGAGAAAAGUCCUCAGUAUGCUUAUGUACAGGACGAAAUAAUUCAGUUAAAUGAAUGCAGCCUCCAAGACUUCAUUGUGACCUCAAUCUACCUGACAUCUUCACCAUUACCUGGUCCUACAUAAUUGAUCUGCAGACUACAACUCUUUGAAACAUAAAAUCUGCUUUAUCAAAAGAUAAGUGAUUUUACAAGUUUGUGUUAAAAAAAGGAUAAAUAUAUAGAGGUGAUUUACAACAGUAGAUCAGAUAUGUCACAAGAGCAAUUUUUUUAUUAGAAAAAAUCUGAAUAAUGUUUGAAGUAUUGUUAUGUUUGAAAAACUUUGGUUCAUUAGAGAACCUGACAGAUCAGCCCUAAAAAUCUCAAUCUAACAAUAUAAAAUUGAUUUCAAAUUUAUUAUUUUAAUUUAAAAGAUAUAUAUUUUAGUAAAUACAUAAAGAAUGAAUAUUUUUGCAGACUAUUUUUACUAUAUUUACAGUUUUAAUUUACUGGAUUUGCAUAUGUUGUUUAAGUACUUAGGAAUAUUUUCUUGGUAAACUCAUAAACUUGUUCAAUCAGGAAGCAAUUAACUGCUUAAAAUAAAAUCAAACCUAGAAAAUUAAUAAAUAGUUUGAAACAUUUAAAGGAAAAUCAUGAAAUGAGUCUAAAAAUGGAACUAUUUAUAAGAAAUGUAUACAUGCAAACAUUAAUCAUGCUUAUAAAUGGAUUGAUUUUAUUUUACAUAAAACUUACUUUUUUAACUUGAAAUUAAAAGAUAAAAAUAAGUUUCUUAAGUCUAUAAUCUUGAUAAACUGUGAUUCACUUAAACACAAGCAAUUCUUUUUAAGCAAUAGUUGCUGCUCUUUGAUAUUAACUAUCUCACAUUGAUAUCUAAUGGAUAAAAAAGUUGUUUCUAAGUAUAUGAAACGAUUGCCUGUGUGUGACAAAUUUAUAUCAUUGCUUUUAUGAAUGUUUAAAAUUUCCAUCUUCUUUUAAUAUAGUAAGAAAAUAGUUCUUUUCUGCUAAUUCUUGGAGAAAAUUGGUUCUUUUCUCCAUUCCCAAAGCUAUAGCUGUUUUGAGCAUAAAGUCAAAAUAAAAAAGAUUAGAAAUGA